UUCCGAUGGGCAAAGGAAUUUAAUUUUCGAAUUGGCUAUAAUGCUUUAUGAUGUACAAGACAGAGAAUAGCAGAAUGUGACCAACGGGAGAAGAGAGGACUUACAAUAAGUGACCAAGUUUAAUGUAUCAUAAAUAUAUCUUGAAGAAAUCAAAAGACUAUAUGAUGAGAUAUGACAGGAGCUCUUAUCAUGCUGGAGAAGAUUGACAGAGGCAAUUAGCCUCGAAAUAUAUAGCAUAACAUCUCCUUACUUCUUAAAGGGGAGGGUGAUUAUGCGACCAACCAAAGGAGGGAGAAAGAGUCAUUCUAAAUGACUUUACUCAGAAAUGGAGAAUUAUCACCUGAAGUUGCUAGAAAGGAGCAAUAUUGUGUUUC
Pistacia vera is the source of this 374-nucleotide long non-coding RNA. RefSeq lists it as uncharacterized. The transcript is spliced from 3 exons. The record is from RefSeq and is a predicted model, not a curated record. NCBI's taxonomy places the organism in Eukaryota, Viridiplantae, Streptophyta, Magnoliopsida, Sapindales, Anacardiaceae.